Molecule: long non-coding RNA, 257 nt
Filed under: Hordeum vulgare
Lineage: Eukaryota; Viridiplantae; Streptophyta; Magnoliopsida; Poales; Poaceae
Description: long non-coding RNA (HVUL_LNC019207)
Source: RNAcentral
CUACUUUUAAUUGAAUGAUACACUUGAUUGGAUUUUGGAGUGCAUAUUUGCUUUAAAAUACACCACAAAUUUUUUCCCGUGGCAAUGCAUGGCCAUGUUUGCUAUAAUUAGAAAAUACAAUUAUUGCAUCAGCAUGACAUCAUGGUGACAUCAACAAUCAACAUUGAGUUUGACUAGUCAAAGUAACAGCUCGGCCCCACGUGUCAUAGAUACAGGGCCAAUCAAGAGUUAAAUUAGUUUAAAAUGGGUUAAUUAGC